AUCCAGCUGACGAAUCCCAAAUAGGAUGAAACGUGCAUCCUGGAU
Molecule: non-coding RNA, 45 nt
Filed under: Schistosoma mansoni
Lineage: Eukaryota; Metazoa; Platyhelminthes; Trematoda; Strigeidida; Schistosomatidae
Source: RNAcentral